GACGAACGCUGGCGGCGUGCCUAAUACAUGCAAGUAGAACGCUGAAGAGAGGAGCUUGCUCUUCUUGGAUGAGUUGCGAACGGGUGAGUAACGCGUAGGUAACCUGCCUUGUAGCGGGGGAUAACUAUUGGAAACGAUAGCUAAUACCGCAUAACAAUGGAUGACACAUGUCAUUUAUUUGAAAGGGGCAAUUGCUCCACUACAAGAUGGACCUGCGUUGUAUUAGCUAGUAGGUGAGGUAACGGCUCACCUAGGCGACGAUACAUAGCCGACCUGAGAGGGUGAUCGGCCACACUGGGACUGAGACACGGCCCAGACUCCUACGGGAGGCAGCAGUAGGGAAUCUUCGGCAAUGGGGGCAACCCUGACCGAGCAACGCCGCGUGAGUGAAGAAGGUUUUCGGAUCGUAAAGCUCUGUUGUAAGUCAAGAACGAGUGUGAGAGUGGAAAAUUCACACUGUGACGGUAGCUUACCAGAAAGGGACGGCUAACUACGUGCCAGCAGCCGCGGUAAUACGUAGGUCCCGAGCGUUGUCCGGAUUUAUUGGGCGUAAAGCGAGCGCAGGCGGUUUGAUAAGUCUGAAGUUAAAGGCUGUGGCUCAACCAUAGUUCGCUUUGGAAACUGUCAAACUUGAGUGCAGAAGGGGAGAGUGGAAUUCCAUGUGUAGCGGUGAAAUGCGUAGAUAUAUGGAGGAACACCGGUGGCGAAAGCGGCUCUCUGGUCUGUAACUGACGCUGAGGCUCGAAAGCGUGGGGAGCGAACAGGAUUAGAUACCCUGGUAGUCCACGCCGUAAACGAUGAGUGCUAGGUGUUGGAUCCUUUCCGGGAUUCAGUGCCGCAGCUAACGCAUUAAGCACUCCGCCUGGGGAGUACGACCGCAAGGUUGAAACUCAAAGGAAUUGACGGGGGCCCGCACAAGCGGUGGAGCAUGUGGUUUAAUUCGAAGCAACGCGAAGAACCUUACCAGGUCUUGACAUCCCGAUGCUAUUUCUAGAGAUAGAAAGUUACUUCGGUACAUCGGUGACAGGUGGUGCAUGGUUGUCGUCAGCUCGUGUCGUGAGAUGUUGGGUUAAGUCCCGCAACGAGCGCAACCCCUAUUGUUAGUUGCCAUCAUUCAGUUGGGCACUCUAGCGAGACUGCCGGUAAUAAACCGGAGGAAGGUGGGGAUGACGUCAAAUCAUCAUGCCCCUUAUGACCUGGGCUACACACGUGCUACAAUGGUUGGUACAACGAGUUGCGAGUCGGUGACGGCAAGCUAAUCUCUUAAAGCCAAUCUCAGUUCGGAUUGUAGGCCGCAACUCGCCUACAUGAAGUCGGAAUCGCUAGUAAUCGCGGAUCAGCACGCCGCGGUGAAUACGUUCCCGGGCCU
Molecule: ribosomal RNA, 1369 nt
Filed under: uncultured bacterium
Lineage: Bacteria
Description: bacterial SSU rRNA
Rfam family: Bacterial small subunit ribosomal RNA
Source: RNAcentral